UGGGGGAUAUUGCACAAUGGGCGAAAGCCUGAUGCAGCGACGCCGCGUGGGGGAUGAAGGCCUUCGGGUUGUAAACUUCUUUUGCUCUGAACAAGGCGCACCAUGGGGUGUGUUGAGUGUAGGGGUUGAUUAGCGCCGGCUAACUACGUGCCAGCAGCCGCGGUAAUACGUAGGGCGCGAGCGUUGUCCGGAAUUAUUGGGCGUAAAGGGUUUGUAGGUGGCUGGUUGCGUCUGUCGUGAAGGCUCAUGGCUUAACUGUGGGUUUGCGGUGGGUACGGGCUGGCUUGAGUGCAGUAGGGGAGGCUGGAAUUCCUGGUGUAGCGGUGGAAUGCGCAGAUAUCAGGAGGAAUACCGGUGGCGAAGGCGGGUCUCUGGGCUGUUACUGACACUGAGGAGCGAAAGCAUGGGGAGCGAACAGG
RNAcentral lists this ribosomal RNA (419 nucleotides) under bacterium. RNAcentral's name for it is "partial 16S ribosomal RNA". It matches the Rfam family "Bacterial small subunit ribosomal RNA", at positions 355 to 776 of the family's 1533-position model. The record is from RNAcentral.